GAUGGUGAGUUUUCUCUGGGAUUAGGGCCUCAGUGCUCUCAGCCUGUGCUACCAUGCUUUGUGACCAUGAUCAGCAGCUGGCCUGCUCUGAGCCAGUCCCCAGGAAGGAGGGGUGAGGUUCGCCAGCCUGGCUGAUGUAAGGACUUCCCUUCCAGUCCUCUGUGAAGUUGCAGCUGCUCUGCAGCCAGUAUGAGAAGAUCCUGAAGCUCACGGCUGAUGUCAAGUUUGAGUCAGGCGAUGUGAAGGCCACAGUGGCAGUGCUGAGUUUCAUCCUCUCCAGUGCGGCCAAGCACAGUGUCGAUGGCGGAUCCUUGGCCAGUGAACUGCAGCAGCUGGGGCUGCCCAAAGGUAUGGGUUGUGGGUGGGCAGCUGGGCAGACUGUGUGGGCUAAGGGCUGCUGCCAAAGCCCUGUGACCCUGAGGUGUACUCUGCCUCGUCUGGGCCAGGAACCCAAGCCAAGCCCCCACCUGCUACCUCCAGAGCUACUCCAUUCUACCCCCAGAGCAAGCGGCCGGGCUGUGCCGCUGUUAUGAGGAGAAGCAAAGCCCCUUGCAGAAGCACUUGUGGAUCUGCAGCCUACGCAGCAAGUAUGAGGCCAGCCAGGGUCCAGG
This 611-nucleotide long non-coding RNA is filed under the name Cercocebus atys (sooty mangabey). RNAcentral's name for it is "lncRNA (ENSCATG00000045651.1)". The record is from RNAcentral. Lineage: Eukaryota; Metazoa; Chordata; Mammalia; Primates; Cercopithecidae.